This 51-nucleotide transfer RNA is filed under the name Pseudoniphargus cupicola. Its description in RNAcentral is "tRNA-Ser". Lineage: Eukaryota; Metazoa; Arthropoda; Malacostraca; Amphipoda; Allocrangonyctidae. The record is from RNAcentral.
AAGAUGUAUUAUAAGACUUCUAAUCUUUAAAUAGUGUGACACUACAUCUUU